RNAcentral lists this long non-coding RNA (832 nucleotides) under Vulpes vulpes (red fox). RNAcentral describes it as "lncRNA (ENSVVUG00000017419.1)". Lineage: Eukaryota; Metazoa; Chordata; Mammalia; Carnivora; Canidae. The record is from RNAcentral.
CCUGGAGUCUAUCUUCGGAGUAGCCCUUGAUCUAACUGGACCAGCCGAAGAUUCCAUCUACGCAGAAUCAUAGAAACUUCUUUGAAAUAGGCCUGAACCUUGGCUAACCUUCUACUCCAGAAGACUUCACUGAGUCAAGCUUACUGCCUGGGAGAUUGCCUCCAUGGAGUGACCCAGAAUCCAGGAUGCUUUCAUCUUGUGGAUCUACUUCAUGAUCUCCAUGAUUACUCACAAAAGGAAAGAGAACAUAAAGAUACACACCAGAUCCAAGCAUUUCCUGGACUGCGGGCCAUCUUCGACUCUUUCCACCACAACUAGCUGUUCUCCGAUGAUCCAUUUAGCAGCUUCUUCCAUCCAGAGUAGCACUGUCUCCUGCAUUUUACCACCACAGGCUUCCAGUAGAUUUAUCUGUGACACACAGAGCAAGGAUUACAGCCGUUUGUCUUCCAACAGUAAGAUUAACCGUGUUCUCACAAGAGACCCCAACACUUCCAAGAUGGUGUCUUUUUUUCCUUCUCAGAGACAUGAAUGCAAUCUCAGGCACACAAUAGAAGCAGUGCCAAUAACGUCUAUUCUUGUCAGCCUCACAAACAGCCUCAUUACUUGGUAACUGCAAACAUGGUUUGAAGUUGCUGCUCCUGCCAAGCUGAAGUCUACCGAUGCCGAGGUCCAGUGAUUGAAAAUUCCAGAUUACAGGCAGAAGGGGAUGAAGAGUUGUUUAUAGCCCUUGCUCAUCUGCUAAAAGCCUCUGGCCAGAAACAGUUCUCUGUUUGAAGGAAAGUAAAUAUCUUCUGCAGCUGAAAAUAAAUGUGUUUUGAGGUAAAUCUAGGCA